RNAcentral lists this microRNA precursor (75 nucleotides) under Branchiostoma belcheri (Belcher's lancelet). RNAcentral describes it as "mir-252 microRNA precursor family". It matches the Rfam family "mir-252 microRNA precursor family". Lineage: Eukaryota; Metazoa; Chordata; Leptocardii; Amphioxiformes; Branchiostomatidae. The record is from Rfam by way of RNAcentral.
GCUCCAUGCUAAGUACUAGUGCCGCAGGUGUCUGUGUUUCCUCGAACCCCUGCAGACUGGUGCUUAACAUGGGAC